This 674-nucleotide ribosomal RNA is filed under the name Pallasea cancellus. Its description in RNAcentral is "bacterial SSU rRNA". It matches the Rfam family "Eukaryotic small subunit ribosomal RNA", at positions 79 to 672 of the family's 1831-position model. The record is from RNAcentral. Lineage: Eukaryota; Metazoa; Arthropoda; Malacostraca; Amphipoda; Pallaseidae.
CGGCGAGACCGCGGACGGCUCAUUAAAUCAGUCGUGGUCCAAAUGGGCCAGUGCAAAUCCUACUUGGAUAACUGUGGUAAUUCCAGAGCUAAUACAUGCAACUGAUAUCCCGAAGGCGGUGUUUGUGCUUGCUUGCCUUGCGCUUGCGCUGCYCUGACGGAUGCUUUUAUUAGACCAAGCCGCUGAGGACUUGAGGGUUCGCGCUCUCUUGUUUGACUCGUGUGAUGGUGACUCUGGAUAACCAAAUUCUGACAAGCGCACGUACUUCUCUUCUGAGCGAGACGGCGCUGCCACUUUCGAGUGUCUGCCUUAUCAGCUAUCAACCGUUCGUUAUGCGCGACCGAUGGCUUUGACGGGUAACGGGGAAUCAGGGUUCGAUUCCGGAGAGGCAGCCUGAGAGACGGCUACCACGUCCAAGGACGGCAGCAGGCACGCAAAUUACCCAAUCCCAGCAAAUGGGGGAGGUAGUGACGAAAUCUAACGAUGCGGGCGCCCUUUCUGGGGCCCCGCAAUCGGAAUGGGCACUUUCUAAACAACCUGUUGAGAACCUACUGAAGGGCAAGUCUGGUGCCAGCAGCCGCGGUAAUUCCAGCUUCAGCAGCAUCUAUUAAAGUUGCUGCGGUUAAAAGGCUCGCAGUUGAAUGUCUGUAUCGAGCGCAGGUCAGGUGGACGUU